UGGGGAAUAUUGCACAAUGGAGGGAACUCUGAUGCAGCGACGCCGCGUGAACGAAGAAGGCUUUCGAGUCGUAAAGUUCUUUUAUAUGGGAAGAUAAUGACGGUACCAUAAGAAAAAGCCCAGGCUAACUACGUGCCAGCAGCCGCGGUAAUACGUAGGGGGCUAGCGUUGUCCGGAAUCACUGGGCGUAAAGGGUUCGCAGGCGGAAAUGCAAGUCAGGUGUAAAAGGCAGUAGCUUAACUACUGUAAGCAUUUGAAACUGCAUAUCUUGAGAAGAGUAGAGGUAAGUGGAAUUUUUAGUGUAGCGGUGAAAUGCGUAGAUAUUAAAAAGAAUACCGGUGGCGAAGGCGACUUACUGGGCUCAUUCUGACGCUGAGGAACGAAAGCGUGGGUAGCAAACAGG
Molecule: ribosomal RNA, 403 nt
Filed under: bacterium
Lineage: Bacteria
Also listed under: 1 other name
Description: partial 16S ribosomal RNA
Rfam family: Bacterial small subunit ribosomal RNA
Source: RNAcentral